Molecule: ribosomal RNA, 776 nt
Filed under: uncultured Neocallimastigales
Lineage: Eukaryota; Fungi; Neocallimastigomycota; Neocallimastigomycetes; Neocallimastigales
Description: partial large subunit ribosomal RNA
Rfam family: Eukaryotic large subunit ribosomal RNA
Source: RNAcentral
UAUGUGAUCGUCUCUCGCAUAUCAAUAAGCGGAGGAAAAGAAACUAACAAGGAUUCCCCUUAGUAACGGCGAGUGAAGCGGGAAGAGCUCAAAUUUGAAAUCUUAAAGGGUUUCCCUUUACGAAUUGUAGUUUAAAGAAGUGUUUUCUGUUGAGGUUUUGGUAAAAGUUCUUUGGAAUAGGACAUCAUAGAGGGUGAGAAUCCCGUAUUUGACCUUUACUUUCAACUUUGUGAUACACUUUCAAAGAGUCGGAUUGUUUGGGAAUGCAGUCCAAAAUGGGUGGUAAAUUUCAUCUAAAGCUAAAUAUUGGCGAGAGACCGAUAGCGAACAAGUACCGUGAGGGAAAGAUGAAAAGAACUUUGAAAAGAGAGUUAAACAGUACGUGAAAUUGUCAAAAGGGAAGCGUUUGACACCAGUGUUGUUUUUUCUGAAAAUCAAUUAAAGAACUGUUUAUGCUAAGCUGUUUAGACUUUAUCAGCUAACUGUUUAGUUUUGAGCUUUUCUUUAAUGCACUUUUCAGUUAACAAGUCAACAUCAAUUUCUUUUGCUGUAAAAAAGCUUGAGGAAGGUGGCUUGAGAUUCGUCUUAAGUGUUUAUAGCCUCUUGCCUAUGCAGUCGGAGAGAUUGAGGUCUGCAGCGUAGAUCCUUCGGGGCUAAAUGCAUUUGUGCUAAGUUAUAGCAUUUUAUAGACAACUUGUUGACUAUGAUUUGUCUUGUAGCUUACUCGCUUAUGUUAUUUUACCUACGCUUAGGAUGUUGAUAUGCAUGACUGAUAU